This 429-nucleotide ribosomal RNA is filed under the name uncultured bacterium. RNAcentral's name for it is "bacterial SSU rRNA". It matches the Rfam family "Bacterial small subunit ribosomal RNA", at positions 355 to 775 of the family's 1533-position model. The record is from RNAcentral.
UGGGGAAUUUUGCGCAAUGGGGGAAACCCUGACGCAGCAACGCCGCGUGAGUGAUGAAGGCCAUCGGGUCGUAAAGCUCUGCCAGAGGGGAAGAAAUGCAGGGGUGCUAAUAUCAUCUUUGCUUGACGGUACCCUCAAAGGAAGCACCGGCUAACUCCGUGCCAGCAGCCGCGGUAAUACGGAGGGUGCGAGCGUUGUUCGGAAUUAUUGGGCGUAAAGCGCGUGUAGGCGGUUUGAUAAGUCUGAUGUGAAAGCCCCGGGCUCAACCUGGGAAGUGCAUUGGAAACUGUCAGACUUGAAUACGGGAGAGGGUAGUGGAAGUCCUAGUGUAGGAGUGAAAUCCGUAGAUAUUAGGAGGAACACCGGUGGCGAAGGCGGCUACCUGGACCGAUAUUGACGCUGAGACGCGAAAGCGUGGGGAGCAAACAG